CUAAUGCCAAGGAUUUUACUCAUCAGUGCUGUCACUCAGUGGGUUAAUUCACAAACGACUCCUUAGUCCUUAACUGUCUGAUAAACAAUUUUUGUGUUUUAAAAUUUGUUAUAAACAAGUUAAAAUAAAAAUAUACAAAUCUGUAUUUAUCCUCAAAUAUGAAUAAGGGGUUAUUAUAGCCCAAGUAUGAACACUUGUGCCACAGUGCCAGCACAAAAUGGGCUAUUCCAGCUUUCAAUUCUGCUGGAAUGAGGUGAUAAAUUUUUAGCUUUGGAAUUCCUCAGGGAUAAGCAAAUAUUUUCUGUGUGGAAUUCUUUGGGGGUAAUCCGGUAAUGGAUAUUUUGAAUGAGAUUUUCUCAGGGGUCAAAUGUAAAAAUUGAAAUUCUUCCAGGGUCUCUCUUCAUGGGUAUUAACAGGAAUUCUUCAGUGGAUCUCUUUUAUGACCUGUAGGAAUUCUUCGGUUGAGCGAUAUGAUGAACUCUUGUGCAACGGACCUGAUUGUGCAACGGACCUGACGACCUUAGGGACGGACCAUUAGAAAACUGAUGGGGAGGGGGGGAACCAAAAAAAUUUAUUCCCAGGAAAAAAUUAGAGGAAAAAAAUCUUCCCAGGCAGAGUGCAAAAAAAAUUCCUUUCUUGGAAGAUAGGCCUAUAAAUUUUAAUACAAAAAUAUAUUUCCAGCCAUCAAGUGAGACAAAAAAAAUUUCUAUAGGUGUACAAAAAAAAAAAUAUUGCCUCUUAGAAAAUCCCCCCCAUAUCAUCACUUUUCUAAUGGUCCAUCCCUUAAUUAAAUUUGCUGUAUACAUUAUGUUGCAACGUGUCACUAUUUAAUAAACUUAUGUACAAUUACAAAUCAAGCCCACAAAUCGUUGAAUAUACUCUUACCGCUCGUUGCAAAUCACGCAGGCGCCUAUUUAAAAAGCCCCAGCAACUUAACGCUCGAGAGAGAGUCUUGUUGAAUU
This is a non-coding RNA of Paramuricea clavata, 962 nucleotides long. NCBI's taxonomy places the organism in Eukaryota, Metazoa, Cnidaria, Anthozoa, Malacalcyonacea, Plexauridae. The record is from the annotation of a GenBank genome assembly.